GAGGAUUAGCUCAGCUGGGAGAGCAUCUGCCUUACAAGCAGAGGGUCGGCGGUUCGAGCCCGUUUCUUCA
RNAcentral lists this transfer RNA (70 nucleotides) under Bacillus velezensis. RNAcentral's name for it is "tRNA-Val". It matches the Rfam family "tRNA". Rfam says of the family: Transfer RNA (tRNA) molecules are approximately 80 nucleotides in length. Their secondary structure includes four short double-helical elements and three loops (D, anti-codon, and T loops). Lineage: Bacteria; Bacillati; Bacillota; Bacilli; Caryophanales; Bacillaceae. The record is from RNAcentral.